AAUUAUCAGACUUUCUAAGCUUCCAGCCAGGAAUUGAGGCCUGAGCAUAGAAACGGAAGACGCAGAGAUUUCAGCACUCUUCCUCUGGAAAACCCACUCAGGAGAACUUUUGUCCUAUAACGUUUUAGUCUGGAAGUCUUUCUCCACACUCUGCUCUCUCUUAUCUGCACAGCUUAACUAGUCUGCAGAUGAGCUACAUCAAAAACAAUAACAGCUAAUGUGGCUGAGAGAAUGCAGUCGUCUGAAAUAUUAUGAAAACAGAGGAAACAGAAGAGGUUGUUUAUGGCCCAUUCUUGCCCAACUGAUCACCGCAACAAACACAUACAUUUUUUUCGCUUUCCUCUUAAAUAUUCUUCCACAAACACUAUUUGCCAUGAUUGAUCAACAUCUAAUAUUAAGUGGGAGGAAAACGGUUGCUUGUUGCUCCCAACUGUCUCUGAUUUCAAAGCCUGUCCAGGUCAAUCGGCUUUAAUGCUGCGUUCAUUCUCAUGUGGGGUUUCCAUGACCAUUUGCUCCUUAGAGUUUAGCUAAUCAAGAGGUAGCUAGGUUCACAUCGGUAAUGGAAGAAAGGCUCCACUGAAUCUUUUUAGUCUAUUAUAUGUCUAUGCUAUUUAUUUUUAAUUGUACUAAGGCUCUUCGAAGAGCUGGGAAUUACCUUUUUGAGGAUCUCAUAAUUUUAAAAGCCGAUGUUUGGAAUGUAGCCCCCUCCUCUCUUUUCCUGACCUUUAUCUCUAUCAACUCACCCAAAUUAGAAGCUAAGAAUCAUCCAGGGAGCCAGCUGUAUAAGGAGCAGAUGCGAAGGAGGAUGCUCACUGAACGUGAGCUGGCUUAUACCCAACACCCAAUCCCACUGGAUUCAAGGGUGUAGGUGGCAGGGGACUUGGCGAUCCUCUAGGGUAUGGGGCCUUUUCCCGAAGUACAGGACUUAAAUUACUUGCAGGGAGAGUAAUUAACAUUAACUAUCCCUUAAGAAAAUGAAUAAGGACAUUUUUACUUCCCAAAGGUCUGCUGAGUGCUUUGAUAUGAUAAUAUACACAGAAAAAUGUUAGAAAGAACACAGAACCCCCUAAAAGAAUUAUGUACAUACCCCCUGAGAGGUCAUCAUUUUCUAGGGCCCUGUUUAGUGCUCAAAAAUCCCCCUCACUGAUGUUCAAAACAGACUUUAGAAAUACAACCUCACCACUAAAAAGAUGCAGAAACAAAGGGAACUGCAGAUCAAAUGAUUUAUGUGAAAUCGUAUAGCAAAUGGAAGGUGACAUUCGAUCUGAAUCUGAAUAUCUCUGGCUCCACAUUUUAUUUACUUAACCAAGAUUUAAAAAUGAAGUGUGUCCAGGAGUUCCCGCUGUGGUGCAGUGGGUUAAGAAUUUGACUGUAGCAGUUCAGUUCGCUGCAGAGGGGCAGAUGUGAUCUCUGAUCCAGCACCGGUGGGUUCAAGGAUGUGGCCUUGCUGCAGCUGUGGUGUAGGCUGAAGCUGUGACUCAUAUUUAAUCCCUAGCCCGGGAACAUCCAUAUGCAGUGGGUGUGGCCACAAAAUUAAAAUAUCAUUUAAAAAAAGNGAUUAAAGUGGAUACGCUUUCUUAUACAAAGUGUUACGUUCUGUCUGUUAUAGGGGACCAUGUCCAAUGUGACAACAGGACCCUUUGUAAUCUGGUCUCUGUUACUCUUUUGGCAUCGUUUACUGCUACACAGAAGAAAAAAAAGGCUCUGACGAGAUUCUGUUUCAUGUUUUUGCUUUGCCCUCUAAUACUUUCCCCAUUUCCCUCACCCAUGUCCUCUCAUUUCCCACUCAUUUUUAAAUUACGUUUAUGCUUUAUAUUUGUAGAUAAUCCGGAUGCUUCUGUCCUCUCGUUUAUCACAUCAGCAAAUAUUUUUAAAUGGCUAUGGCUAUAGCAUGCGGCCACACAGGUCAUCAUCUCUGUAAUCCUGGGGACAGCAAUCCCACAGGCUCUGACACCAAUGGUUUCUGGGUCAGAGAGGCCAUUUUUUGGCUCAUUUACGUAACAGCACUCCAGGCUUCCGCUUGUGCUACCAAAGAGACCUCCUAUGACCAAGCUGCUGGUCUCACUUGGAAUUCCUAUUCACGAUAUCAAGUGAGCCCCUCGUAUCACGAAUAAUUCCAAAGUCUCUUCCUGUCUCAGUUUCCUUAAAAUUAACUUAGAUGUGCUCUCAAUGAAAGCCUCUGCCACUCUUCCCCCAAGCCCACCCUUAGACGAAACCUAGAUUCCAAUUUCACUGACAAAAAAGAAGCCAGAGAGGAUCCCAUUGACAUGUCUGCCCACCCAUCUGCCUCUGAGGCCAAGCGUUACUGCUGACUGUCUGCUGCUAUGAAUGACCUGUCUUGGUCCUUGGACCUGUGUGUGAUGCAGCCUACCCUGUCUUGCAAACCAACUGCUGUGCUCUGGACAUUUCGUGCGCUUUCUCUUGGGUAAUUCUCACUGUCCCUCUGUGGUUUCAUAGUGGAUGCAUGAUAUCUAGGUAAGGUAAGCUUUAAAACCGAUCUGUCUUUGACCCAAAGAAAGUGAGAAUUUGGGAAACGGGGCAGUGGUAAACACCAGGAUAUUCACAAAGAGCACGAGAGGAAGAGAUACGUGGGGUCACACAGACUGGGGUCUGUCUUGAUGAGGAACUCAAGGACACAAUUCCCAGCUCGAAUGGGAAGGGUAGGUGAGCAGGACGAGGCAGACGGGACGGCAGAUGCGGGACGUCUCCUGUCCUGGGUUUCCAAGGAGGAGAAAGGCGGCUGGGUGAAAACCAAAUGGGCUGUGUUAAGAGCCAACACCGAGGGAGUUACGUGUCCUUCUCCACUCUGAGCCCAAUGCUAUUUUAAAAUAUGCAAGUGUAUAGAACUAGAAAGUAACUUCAGUCAUGGGAUAAAAAGUAGAGUAUUAUGAUGAAUGCAGUAAGUUUAAUCUCUUAUAUGCAGGUUGUCCCCAACCUAGUGAUUUGACUUAAAACUUUUUGACUUUACAGGGAUGCAAAAGUGACACACAUUCACUAGAAAUAGUGCUUUGAAUUUUGAAUUUUGCUUUUUUCCCAGGCCAGCCACAUACGGUAAGAUACUCUCUCCUGAUUCUGGGCAGCAGCACUGAGCCGUAGCUCCCAGUCAACCUGCACUAAAAAGGGCAACCAACCUGCACACUCACAAAACCAUUCUAUUUCCCACUUUCUGUACAGUAGUCAAUAAAUUUCAGGAAAUAGUCGACACUCAAUUAUAAAAUGGGCUUUUUGUGUUAGAUGAUUUUGCCCAACUUUAGGCCAAUGUAAUCGUUCUGAGAACAUUGAAGGGAGGCGAGGCCACGCGGUGGUGUUCAGUAGGUUGGAUGUAUUAAAUGCCUUUUUGACGUUUGCUAUUUUUACCUUACUGGUGAGUUUAUCAGGAUGCAACCCAUUGUAAAUUGAGGAAGAUCUGUACAGGGUUUCAGACCAAUUACGAUAACUAGCCAUGGAUCACGCAUCUCAGUUUUGAGAGACAGUGACCUGAACCCAGGAGAGAAGAAACAGCAAAAUCUCCAAUUAUGUGUUUGUGUGUGUGUGUGAUUGUCACAUAGUUUUCUGUUUCUACAUUGUUUUAAGAGCAUUUAGAACAUUAUCUAUAUUAAGUAAGUUCUCUUGAUGUGUUUGAUAAACAGAUCAAUAAACCACUAUGAGUAAUACAGGGCAUUUCAGUGCACUGAUUCAGCAUUGCUUUUACAGAUUUAUAAACUUCUAGAAUCUCUAAGAAAUGGAGUAAAAAGAUAUCUUCUUCAUAUUUUUUCUUUUCUUGUUGAUGGAGACAAAAUAGCUGGUUAUACAUUCCGUUAUAGUCGUCCUUGAGAAAUAGAUGGCAGCACGCCAAGAUUAAAGCGUAUGUCUAAUUCUCUUGCCUUUGUUUCAAAGCUUUUUGUAAAGCUGCUCGUGCUAUUAAUAUAUUUUUUCCUGUGGGAAAGGUACCGAACCUCCAGAACGACUGGAUUCUGUUUCCCUUAUUCUUCUCUGACUUCAGACUAAGAGAUCCAUCUGCAUUUCUCAUGAGGAGGAGCAGGUUUCUCUCUUGCGUGAGGAAAGAGAGCACUGAAAUUCCCUUGGUUCUUACUAUUUCAGACCUAUUGAAUCUCAUAGGAAACCACCGAGCCCAGAAAGAAAAUUGAGAAAAGUCGUCUUAAAGGACAAAAUAAAGUCUGUUGUCUUAUAUCCUAAAAUACCGAUGAUUCAUGAUGUUAUAGCUCCACUAUCAUGAGCUACAUGCAGCGAGGCUUUUCCCAGUUUUGUCUGUCCUCAAAAGGAUACAGAAUUUUGCUGUAAUGAGUCCAAGGACUCUACCAGCAUUUGUGAAGCCCAGUCUAAGCAUCAUGAUCGUUCUUCUACCAAAAGCUCUGUAACGUAUACAGUUGAUGUAUUUCUUCAGGAAACCUCCAGUGUCCAGCGUCCAGAGACUAUCAUGCCUAAGAGUUUCUCACCUACUAAACUAACCUUACCUGCUAGUGGAAGCACUGAGUUCCUACUAAGCAAAAGUGUCUGGGGCUGAUACUGUGACCCACGUGUCUUAUUAUUUUCUCUGCCUGGAACGCACUCAGCAUUCAGAGAGCUGGAAAACAGCUGCCUGCCCACUUGUUUUCCUAUGGGCGGAAAGGCUGAAAAGGGCCAGCUAAAGAGACAGCGUCUUAGGGGAGUACAUGGCAAUAGACAAAAAACUUCUGAUGUCAAGUCCCCUCUGGGGCUUCUGAUCUCCUUUGCUUGGUGUCCAGGCCGUGGAAAAUACCCGACACAACAAAGAUCUGUGCUUGGGACUCACACAGGAAGAACCUCUGAGCAUCAGGGAAAACAGCUGUUUCAGGCACAUACAGAACAAACAGAGCAGAAGUACUGGAUCCACUCACAGACGAUUAUCAAGGGACCAUUUACGCCGAAUCCACAGUCCAGGACUUCCUAACCCACAUACAUAAUACAUCACUAGUAUAAAGCUUAAAAUUGCAACUCGAGCAUUGAUGCCUUAUUGACAGAAAUAAGGCAGCAACGAUUCCUACUGCAUAAAUCACACAUUUCCCAACACCACACUUGCAAGAGAAAAAAGAAGGGAGCCUUCUGGGAUGAUAAGAUGCCUUUUAUUAUGACUGUAGAGCGGGCUACGUGGGCUAUGCAUGUGUUCAACUUUCUUAACUGUCCAUUUAAGGCUUGUUCAUUUCACUGCAUGUCAUUGGACUUCAGAAAAAUGAAUGCAUAAGAAAUGCAAUAGUCUAAAAUUUCUUAAAAAUGCAGCAAGACAGUGGUUUCCUAAUGACGGAUGUAACACACUUACAUUAUCUGAGAAGAAGAAGAAACGAUUGAGAAAGGGCAUCCCUGGAGUUGAUCUGGGACAAUAAAUGUAAACGUCGAAUGGCUCAAGAAGAUGCAGGUGGAUGGGGCACGGAAAUAGAAAUUUCAGCAUUUUUUCAGCUGGUCUUUCUUUUUUUCAUCAUGUAAUUGCCGCCUGAGUGAAUUUACCCAUAGAGACCUCGCCAUGACCAUCACUUUAUAUGUUAAAGAUAUGUGAAUAUUCACCUUAGCUGAGAUGUUCUCCCUCAGAACCUACACAAUUUAAUGCUCUACAUGACUUUCUAACCUACCAUGUCCAAGGUACUGUCAUUAACGUAGCCCUCAAAUUACCCCUUUCCCGAAUUCCUUACAACAAGACAAUAGUGCCAAAGAUGUAGAGUAUUCCAAAACAGAAAAACACCCUACCUACAGGUAAAGUCUACAGUAACUGAUAACUGGUAUACAGACUCCUUUUUGGAUGGCCUCCAAGAAAAGAAAUAUUUCAUGGUUCUCAGAUGAUAUUUUUUUUUUUUAAAGAAGAGAAAUGCCUAGCUGGGAGAUUGGAGAAAUCAGAAGAAAAUGAACAAAGAAGGAAGAUAGUCCUAGAUAUUCAGACAAUAAAACGGGGCAGCAUUUAGACUCUGUGGAUAAAAGAUUCCAAGUUUUGUGUCUUGAUAGUGGUUCCAAGUCAGCUGCUCAAAGAGGAAGACUACCUGCACAGAGAAACCUGGUAGGUUGAUAGUUUUUCCUACUAAAUACCAAAUCUGGAACAUGUGAACUACAUUUCAGCUGUCAACAGAAUCCAGCGUAUUAUUUUAGUUUAUAAAAUAUCCCAACUCUAUUAAAACUAAAAACUACUGAUGCUCUAACAUCAGUGUUGGUGCCUUCACAAAAAUUCAUGUUUAUGAGUUUAUUAAUUUAUUUUUGUUUUUGUUUGUUUCCCUUGAGGAGAACUCCUUUCUUAAUUUGUUUAGUCUUUGUGUAUUAUUAAUCCUAUUCAUUUCUCUCAAGCCCUUAAUUUGAUAUAAUCAGACUAGAGGUACAAUAUCUAUUAGCUGUUCUAAAAAAAAAAAUCACAGCCACAUAGAUGACUCAAGAUUCUUUCAAAUUGCCUAAACUGUAAAAUUCAGUAUUUAGAUCUCAGAUAACUUCCCUUUUUUUGGGGGGGGGGAUGCACUGCAGGAGGAGGUAUCUCACUUAAAAGUUUUUCUUCCUUCUACCUACGGUUCAUUCCCAAUUGUACCUACCUCCAAAAGCUACAUAGUUAGAGUGAUAUUAACAACCUCAUCACCAACAUUUACCAAAUGAAACAGCUAAAAUAAGUUGUUGAGGUAGAAUCCUGAGAUACUGUAGACAUAUGGUGAGUAAUUUGCAGAUGGAAAAUGCAAUUCAGGUUAUGGGA
RNAcentral lists this long non-coding RNA (6673 nucleotides) under Sus scrofa (pig). Its description in RNAcentral is "lncRNA (ENSSSCG00015067059.1)". The record is from RNAcentral. Lineage: Eukaryota; Metazoa; Chordata; Mammalia; Artiodactyla; Suidae.